UCCUACGGGAGGCAGCAGUGGGGAAUCUUGCGCAAUGGGCGAAAGCCUGACGCAGCGACGCCGCGUGGGGGAAGAAGGCUUUAGGGUUGUAAACCUCUUUCAGGUGGGACGAAGCCACUCGGGUGAAUAGCCCAGAGGGUGACGGUACCACCAGAAGAAGCCCCGGCUAACUACGUGCCAGCAGCCGCGGUAAUACGUAGGGGGCAAGCGUUGUCCGGAUUUAUUGGGCGUAAAGAGCGUGUAGGCGGUCAGGUAGGUGGGUUGUGAAAACUGGAGGCUCAACCUUCAGACGUCGACCCAAACCCCCUGGCUAGAGUCCGGAAGAGGAGAGUGGAAUUCCUGGUGUAGCGGUGAAAUGCGCAGAUAUCAGGAAGAACACCCGUGGCGAAGGCGGCUCUCUGGGACGGUACUGACGCUGAGACGCGAAAGCGUGGGGAGCGAACAGGAUUAGAUACCCUGGUAGUCCACGCCGUAAACGAUGGGUGCUAGGUGUGGGGGGUGUCGACUCCCUCCGUGCCGAAGCUAACGCAUUAAGCACCCCGCCUGGGGAGUACGGCCGCAAGGCUAAACUCAAAGGAAUUGACGGGGGCCCGCACAAGCAGCGGAGCAUGUGGUUUAAUUCGACGCAACGCGAAGAACCUUACCAAGGCUUGACAUGCACUUGAAAAGCGUGGAAACACGCUCCCUCUUCGGAGCAAGUGCACAGGUGGUGCAUGGCUGUCGUCAGCUCGUGUCGUGAGAUGUUGGGUUAAGUCCCGCAACGAGCGCAACCCUCGCCCUUAGUUGCCAUCAUUUAGUUGGGCACUCUAAGGGGACUGCCGGUGAUAAGCCGCGAGGAAGGUGGGGAUGACGUCAAGUCCUCAUGGCCCUUACGGGCUGGGCUACACACGUGCUACAAUGGCGGUGACAGUGGGACGCAAUGGAGCAAUCCUGCGCAAAUCUCAAAAAGCCGUCUCAGUUCGGAUUGGGGUCUGCAACUCGACCCCAUGAAGUCGGAAUCGCUAGUAAUCGCAGAUCAGCA
This 1021-nucleotide ribosomal RNA is filed under the name uncultured bacterium. RNAcentral's name for it is "bacterial SSU rRNA". It matches the Rfam family "Bacterial small subunit ribosomal RNA", at positions 337 to 1354 of the family's 1533-position model. The record is from RNAcentral.